Molecule: ribosomal RNA, 433 nt
Filed under: uncultured bacterium
Lineage: Bacteria
Description: partial 16S ribosomal RNA
Rfam family: Bacterial small subunit ribosomal RNA
Source: RNAcentral
AACGAACGCUGGCGGCAUGCCUAACACAUGCAAGUCGAACGAGACCUUCGGGUCUAGUUGCGCACGGGUGCGUAACGCGUGGGAACCUGCCCUUAGGUUCGGAAUAACUCCCCGAAAGGGGUGCUAAUACCGGAUAAUGUCUUCGGACCAAAGAUUUAUCGCCUUUGGAUGGGCCCGCGUUGGAUUAGCUAGUUGGUAGGGUAAAAGCCUACCAAGGCGACGAUCCAUAGCUGGUCUGAGAGGAUGAUCAGCCACACUGGGACUGAGACACGGCCCAGACUCCUACGGGAGGCAGCAGUGGGGAAUAUUGGACAAUGGGCGAAAGCCUGAUGCAGCAAUGCCGCGUGAGUGAUGAAGGCCUUAGGGUUGUAAAGCUCUUUUACCCGGGAUGAUAAUGACAGUACCGGGAGAAUAAGCUCCGGCUAACUCCGUG